Molecule: transfer RNA, 61 nt
Filed under: Paurocephala sauteri
Lineage: Eukaryota; Metazoa; Arthropoda; Insecta; Hemiptera; Liviidae
Description: tRNA-Leu
Source: RNAcentral
UUUAAAGUGACAGAAAAAUGUAUUAAAUUUAAGAUUUAACUAUGGGUGUACCCCUUUAAAA